This 2686-nucleotide long non-coding RNA is filed under the name Equus caballus (horse). RNAcentral describes it as "lncRNA (ENSECAG00000059809.1)". The record is from RNAcentral. Lineage: Eukaryota; Metazoa; Chordata; Mammalia; Perissodactyla; Equidae.
GCCCUGAGCUAACAUCUGCAGCUAAUCCUCCUUUUUUCGUAUUUUUUGCUGAGGAAGACUGGCCCUGAGCUAACCUCCAUGCCCAUCUUCCUCUACUUUGUAUGUGGGACACCCACCACAGCAUGGCUUGACAAGCGGUGCGUAGGUCUGCACCCAGGAUCCGAACUGGCGAACCCUGGGCCGCCAAAGUGGAAUGUGUGAACUUAACUGUGUGCCACUGGGUUGGUCCCUGGCCCAAGUUAAUUUUGAUACACCACUUUUGUCAUUCCAUAGCAUAUUAGGUCUACCUUUAUAUGCUCAUCACAUAGUAAAAUAUUUUGUCCACUUAACCUUCUCUACCACUAAAUUGUGAGGUCUAUUAAUAUAUGUAAAUAAUAUUUAUCUAGAACCUAUACAUUCCAGGAUUUUAUUUUAUUAAGUAUGAUUGACUUGCAAUAACCUAUUAGUUUCAGGUGUAUAUUGUAAGAAUUCAAUAUUUAUACACAUUACAAAAUGAUCACCCCAUUAAGCCUAGUUACAAUCUGUCACCAUACAAAGUUAUUACAAUAUUAUUAACUAUAUUCCCUAUGCUGCACAUUACUUAUUUAUUUUAUAACUGGAAGUAUGUACCUCUUAAUACCCUUCACCUAUUAUGCCCAAACCCCAACCACUCCCUACUCUGUUAACCCCAGUUUGUUUCCUGUUAUCUGUGAGUGUGUUUCUGUUUUGUUUUGUUUGUUCAUUUGUUUUGUUUUCUAGAUUCCACAUAUAAGUGAAAUCAUACAGUAUUUGUCUUUCUCUGACUUAUUUCACUUAGCAUAAUACACUCUAGGUCCAUCCAUGUUGCUGCAAAUGGCAAUAUUUCAUUAUUUUUUAUGGCUGAGUGAUAUUCUAUUGUAAAUACAUAUCACAUCUUCUUUACCCUUUAUCUAUCCGUGCACACUUGGGUUGCUUCCACAUCUUGGCUAUUGUAAAUAAUGCUGCAAGGAACAUGAGGGUGUACAGAUCACUUCAAAUUAAUGUUUUCAUUGUCUUUGGAUAAAUAUCUGGAAGUAAAAUUUCUGGACAAUAUGGUACUUCUAUUUUUAAUUUUUUGAGGAACUUCUGUACUGUUUUCCAUAGUGGCUGCAUCAAUUUACAUUCUCAUCAACAGUGUACAAAGGUUCCCUUUUCUCCACAUCCUCACCAACACUUGCUAUUUUUGCCUUUUUGAUAAUAACCAUUCUGACAGGUAUGAGGUGGUAUCCCAUUGUGGUCUUGAUUUGCGUUUUCCUAAAGAUUACUGAUACUGAGCAUCUUCUCAUGUGCUUGUUGGGCAUCUAUAUGUCCUCUUUGGAAAAAUGUCUGUUCAAGUCUUCUGCCCAGUUUUUAAUUAGGUUGUUUGGUUUUUUUAUAUUAAGUUGUGUAAGUUCUUUAUAUAUUUUGGGUAUUAACCCCUUAUUGGAUGUAAGUUUUGCAAUUAUCUUUUCCCAUUCAGUAGUUGCCUUUUUAUUUUAUUGAUGGUUUCCUUCAUUAUGCGAAAACUUUUUAGUUUGGUAUAAUCCUAUUUGUUUAUUUUUACUUGUGUUACCCUUGCCUGAGGAGAUUGGUCACAAAAACUAUUGCUAAGACCUAUGUCAAAGAACUGACUGUCUAUGUUUUCUUCUAGGAGGAUUACGGUUUCAGGUUUUAUAUACAAGUUUUUAAUCCAUUUCAAAUUUAUUUUUGUAUAUGGUGUAAGAUAGUAGUCCAGUUUCUUUUUUUUCUUUUGCAUGUAGCUGUCCAGUUUUCCCAACAAUAUAUAUUGAAGAGACUGUCUUUUCCCCAUUGUAUGUUCAUGCCCUUUGUUGUGGAUUAAUUGAUAUAUGGGUUUAUUUUUGGACUUUCUAUUCUACUCUAUUGAUCUAUGUGUCUGUUUUCAUGCCAGUACCAUACCAUUUGAUGACUAUAGCUUUGUAGUAUAAUUUGAAAUCAGAGAGCAUAAUACCUCCAACUUUGUUCUUUUUUUCUCAAGAUUUUUUGGCUAUUCAAGGUCUUUUGUGGUUCCAUACAAAUUUUAGGAUUCUUUAUUCUAGUUCUGUGAAAAAUGUUGUUGGUAUUUUGAUGGGGAUUGCAUUGAAUCUGUAGACUGCUUUGAGUAGUAUGGACAUUUUGGCAAUAUUAAUUCUUCCAAUCAGUAAGCAUGGAAUACCUUUCCAUUUAGCUGUGCCAUCUUCAAUUUCUUUCAUUGGCAUCUUAUAGUUUUCAGUGUACCAGUCUUUUACCUCCUUGGUUAAGUCUAUUCCUAGGUAUUUUAUUGUUUUUGAUGCAAUUAUAAAUUGGAUUCUUUUAUUAAUUUCUUUCUGAUAGUUCACUAUUAGUGUAUAGAAACACUACUUAUUUCUGUAUAUUAAUUAUUUUAUCUUGCAACUUCACAGAAUUAACUUAUUAGUUCUAAUAGUUUUUUGUUGGAGUCUUUAGGGUUUUCUAUGUAUAGUAUCAUGUCAUCUGCAAAUAGUGACAAUUUUACUUCUUCCUUUCUAAUAUGGAUGGCUUUUAUUUCUUUGUCUUGCCUAAUUAUUGUGGCUAGGAAUUCGUAUACUAUGUUGAAUAAAAGUAGUGAGUGGGCAUCCCUGUCUCAUUCCUAAUCUUAGAGGAAAGCUUUCAGAUUUGACCAUUGAGUACCAUGUUAACAGUGGCUUUGUCAUAUAUGGCUUUUAUUAUGUUGAGGUAUGUUCCUUCUAUACCC